Molecule: long non-coding RNA, 229 nt
Organism: Xiphophorus couchianus (Monterrey platyfish)
Lineage: Eukaryota; Metazoa; Chordata; Actinopteri; Cyprinodontiformes; Poeciliidae
Exons: 3
Source: RefSeq, a predicted model, not a curated record
AAGAUGUUGGCGGGAUGAAAAAAAGCCUUUCAAUGUGGUUGAAAGAUAGUAGCUGUGAUGGUGGAGAGAAAGAAGAGAAGAUGAUGAAAGAGGAAGAAUCAGGACAGACAGGGGAAGGCAACAGUGGAGAACACCACAGACAAGGGAUGAAGGAGACAGACAUGAGGUCAGUGAUAGAGGAGACAAGUGAUGAGAUCAGGUAGGCAUUAGGAAAGCAACAAAAACCUAU